RNAcentral lists this long non-coding RNA (175 nucleotides) under Anas platyrhynchos platyrhynchos (common mallard). RNAcentral describes it as "lncRNA (ENSAPLG00000024828.1)". The record is from RNAcentral. Lineage: Eukaryota; Metazoa; Chordata; Aves; Anseriformes; Anatidae.
GAGUGUUUUCAAAGCACUGCACGAGCAUUAUCUAAUAAUCCUCAAGGCAGCUCAUUGAGGAAUGGAGCAGACGGUUGCCAGACCGUGGUAUGCAACGUUUACCCCUUGAAAAUCUUUAAAGAAUUUAAACUUUGCACAGACGUUUUAAGCAGACCCAGCUGCCAAUUCCACAUGA